UUUAUUUAUUUUUAUUUAAUUAAGAUUGAUUCUGUCUUUUAAAAUUAGCUAAUUUGAUAAUAUUAGAUACAAGUUUUUGCGAGUUGUUGCUAUUAUCUAAAUGAUAAUUUUUUUUUAUUUGUAGUUUUUAAUUUUGAAUUUUUCAGCAAUGUAGAUUCAUUUAAUUUUUUUAGAUCCGUUAAAGGUUGUGCCAGCAAACGCGGUUAUACAGCUGGUUCAAGUUAAUUUUUUUGGUUAGUAUUUAUUUAUUAUUUUUGGGAUUUAAUUUAAAUUUUAAGGUGAAAUUUUUAAUUUAAAUUAUAUUUUUUUGGUUUAAGAUUAUAUGAAAUUUAGGAUUUAAACUAGGAUUAGAUACCCUAUUAUUCUAAAUGUAAA
This 375-nucleotide ribosomal RNA is filed under the name Centrocoris variegatus. Its description in RNAcentral is "partial small subunit ribosomal RNA". The record is from RNAcentral. Lineage: Eukaryota; Metazoa; Arthropoda; Insecta; Hemiptera; Coreidae.